UGCUUGUCAUCAUUACAGUGA
Molecule: non-coding RNA, 21 nt
Filed under: Caenorhabditis elegans
Lineage: Eukaryota; Metazoa; Nematoda; Chromadorea; Rhabditida; Rhabditidae
Source: RNAcentral